Molecule: ribosomal RNA, 225 nt
Filed under: uncultured Vogesella sp.
Lineage: Bacteria; Pseudomonadati; Pseudomonadota; Betaproteobacteria; Neisseriales; Chromobacteriaceae
Description: partial 16S ribosomal RNA
Rfam family: Bacterial small subunit ribosomal RNA
Source: RNAcentral
UGCGCAGGCGGUUUGAUAAGCCAGAUGUGAAAUCCCCGAGCUCAACUUGGGAACUGCGUUUGGAACUGUCAGACUAGAGUGCGUCAGAGGGGGGUGGAAUUCCGCGUGUAGCAGUGAAAUGCGUAGAUAUGCGGAGGAACACCGAUGGCGAAGGCAAUCCCCUGGGCCUGCACUGACGCUCAUGCACGAAAGCGUGGGGAGCAAACAGGAUUAGAUACCCCCGUA